AGCAGCCGCGGUAAUUCCAGCUCCAAUAGCGUAUAUCAAAGUUGUUGCAGUUAAAAAGCUCGUAGUUGAAUUUCGAGAUCGGUUUAUUGGUCGUGCUAUUGUACGUACUGGUAUUACCGGUUUCUCCUUUCUGACGAACCUUAAUGCCAUUAAUUUGGUGUUUUGGGAAAUCAGGACUGUUACUUUGAAAAAAUUAGAGUGUUUAAAGCAGGCUCACGCUUGAAUGCAUUAGCAUGGAAUAACGGAAUAGGACGUUUGAUUCUAUUUUGUUGGUUUCUAGGAUCGACGUAAUGAUUAAUAGGGAUAGUUGGGGGCAUUAGUAUUCAAUUGUCAGAGGUGAAAUUCUUGGAUUUAUUGAAGACUAACUACUGCGAAAGCAUUUGCCAAGGAUGUUUUCAUUAAUCAAGAACGAAAGUUAGGGGAUCGAAGACGAUCAGAUACCGUCGUAGUCUUAACCAUAAACUAUGCCGACUAGGGAUCGGAUGAUGUUAUUUUAUGACUCAUUCGGCGCCUUACGGGA
RNAcentral lists this ribosomal RNA (520 nucleotides) under uncultured Glomus. RNAcentral's name for it is "SSU rRNA". It matches the Rfam family "Eukaryotic small subunit ribosomal RNA", at positions 569 to 1095 of the family's 1831-position model. The record is from RNAcentral. Lineage: Eukaryota; Fungi; Glomeromycota; Glomeromycetes; Glomerales; Glomeraceae.